Molecule: ribosomal RNA, 792 nt
Filed under: uncultured bacterium
Lineage: Bacteria
Description: bacterial SSU rRNA
Rfam family: Bacterial small subunit ribosomal RNA
Source: RNAcentral
AGAGUUUGAUCAUGGCUCAGGAUGAACGCUAGCGGCAGGCUUAACACAUGCAAGUCGAGGGGCAGCGGGGUGUAGCAAUACAUCGCCGGCGACCGGCGCACGGGUGCGUAACACGUAUGGAAUCUGCCCUGUACUGGGGAAUAGCCCUCCGAAAGGAGGAUUAAUACCCCGUAAUAGCUUGAGUGGCAUCACUCGGGUUUGAAAGCUCCGGCGGUACAGGAUGACCAUGCGCACGAUUAGCUAGUAGGUGAGGUAACGGCUCACCUAGGCUACGAUCGUUAGGGGGCCUGAGAGGGUUAUCCCCCACACUGGUACUGAGACACGGACCAGACUCCUACGGGAGGCAGCAGUGAGGAAUAUUGCGCAAUGGAGGAAACUCUGACGCAGCCAUGCCGCGUGCAGGAAGACGGCCCUACGGGUUGUAAACUGCUUUUAUCAGGGAAGAAACCCCGGGACGUGUCCCGGGUUGACGGUACCUGAGGAAUAAGCACCGGCUAACUCCGUGCCAGCAGCCGCGGUAAUACGGAGGGUGCAAGCGUUAUCCGGAUUCAUUGGGUUUAAAGGGUGCGUAGGCGGGGUGGUAAGUCAGUGGUGAAAUCCUGCAGCUUAACUGUAGAAUUGCCAUUGAUACUGCCAUUCUUGAGUGCGCUUGAAGUGGGCGGAAUGUGCCGUGUAGCGGUGAAAUGCUUAGAUAUGGCACAGAACACCAAUUGCGAAGGCAGCUCACUAAGGCGAUACUGACGCUGAGGCACGAAAGCGUGGGGAUCGAACAGGAUUAGAUACCCCGGUAGU